CUCAUCCAUAAAGAUUGACGACGCACCUGUUGACGACCCAUCGUUAAAGGUUUUGGUACCAAAUAACAGCGGCACUUUGAAACGAGUUAAAUGAGCAGUUGUCCACACGUCUCUCCUGCUGUACAAGAUCCUGUUUGGACCUCAGCUUUACUAAACUUCAACUUAUUGCCGGCCCUGCUACAACUGCUGACCCAUUCAAAAGAUGUCUUCCUGAUGGUUGCCACAGUUUUGCAUAACAUCGCAGAUCUGGGGUCGGCUUAUUGUCACCACUGAGGGAGAAAGGAAUUUUGCCGUGUUUAACCCCAACUCUGCGUGAUGACGACAUACAAGUGGCAAGGCUAAGCCUAGAAUUACUGAAUACGCUUUUCACAUACUGUCC
Xenopus tropicalis (tropical clawed frog) is the source of this 379-nucleotide long non-coding RNA. RefSeq lists it as uncharacterized. Lineage: Eukaryota; Metazoa; Chordata; Amphibia; Anura; Pipidae. The record is from RefSeq and is a predicted model, not a curated record. The transcript is spliced from 3 exons.